CACAUGCAAGUCGAACGAUGAACCACUUCGGUGGGGAUUAGUGGCGAACGGGUGAGUAACACGUGGGCAAUCUGCCCUGCACUCUGGGACAAGCCCUGGAAACGGGGUCUAAUACCGGAUACUGAUCCUCGCAGGCAUCUGCRAGGUUCGAAAGCUCCGGCKGUGCAGGAUGAGCCCGCGGCCUAUCAGCUWGUUGGUGAGGUAACGGCUCACCAAGGCGACGACGGGUAGCCGGCCUGAGAGGGCGACCGGCCACMCUGGKACUGAGACWCGGCCCAGACUCCUACGGGAGGCASCAGUGGGGAAUAUUGCACAAUUGGCGAARGCCU
RNAcentral lists this ribosomal RNA (329 nucleotides) under Streptomyces sp. RNAcentral's name for it is "partial 16S ribosomal RNA". It matches the Rfam family "Bacterial small subunit ribosomal RNA", at positions 52 to 384 of the family's 1533-position model. Lineage: Bacteria; Bacillati; Actinomycetota; Actinomycetes; Kitasatosporales; Streptomycetaceae. The record is from RNAcentral.